Molecule: long non-coding RNA, 269 nt
Filed under: Carica papaya (papaya)
Lineage: Eukaryota; Viridiplantae; Streptophyta; Magnoliopsida; Brassicales; Caricaceae
Description: long non-coding RNA (CPAP_LNC001768)
Source: RNAcentral
CCUUUAAAAAGUGAGUGGAGUUCAGUUGCAGACUACUCAACCCCACUCAACUGUAGGCAAGUUGUCACGAGGGCAGUGCUGUAUGUGGUUUCUGUCCACGGGCUGGGAGUUGCAGAAUCUGCGAGGAUGUGGGCAACCUUUUGAGGCUUCAAGGGUGCCUAAACCCGAAACCGCGUGUGCGGGCUAUUGUGAACAUACUUCAGUGUCUCUGCGACUGCCAUGAACAUAGUUUGGCAGAGGAAAAAUGGUGUCAACGGGUGAGAGGAGAU